CCUGCAAGAGGAGAGGAGAAAUCACUCAGGAGGAGGACAGCCAACGUGUUUCUAUCACCGACUUUAAACGCCACUUUAAUCUACAGACAUUCAGAAGUGAACCUGAAGGCAGCAUGACCAUCAGGGAGAAACUCUCCGUUGGAAUAAUAUUAAAGCAGCUGCUUCCUUGUUGUGCAGACUCUUAAUAAAUGAUUCAUGAGCUACAUGUUUAUGGCAUCUGUUGCUAAUGAUUAAUUCUGCUCCACAAACCACCUCGCACUGACGAGACUCAGGAUGAACUUAAAGUAGUUUACACAUAUUUUACAGAUGUUCCUGAGGUGUGUUACAGAUGUUCCUGAGGUAGGAGGUGUGUUACAGAUGUUCCUGAGGUGUGUUACAGAUGUUCUUGAGGUGGGAGGUGUGUUACAGAUGUUCCUGAGGUGUGUUACAGAUGUUUCUGAGGUGUGUUACAGAUGUUUCUGAGGUGGGAGGUGUGUUACAUAUGUUCCUGAGGUGCGAGGUGUGUUACAGAUGUUUCUGAGGUGUGUUACAGAUGUUCCUGAGGUGGGAGGUGUGUUACAGAUGUUCCUGAGGUGU
Molecule: non-coding RNA, 576 nt
Organism: Labrus bergylta (ballan wrasse)
Lineage: Eukaryota; Metazoa; Chordata; Actinopteri; Labriformes; Labridae
Source: RefSeq, a predicted model, not a curated record